Oncorhynchus tshawytscha (Chinook salmon) is the source of this 2375-nucleotide long non-coding RNA. RefSeq lists it as uncharacterized. The record is from RefSeq and is a predicted model, not a curated record. Lineage: Eukaryota; Metazoa; Chordata; Actinopteri; Salmoniformes; Salmonidae. The transcript has 3 exons.
CAAGCUUACAGAACGGAACCACCAAGUGCUGAAGCGUGUAAAAAAAUUGUCUGUCCUGUGACGUAACACUCACUGAGUUCCAAAUGGUAGUUGAAUAUCAGUUUUAUAUGAAAUGUAUUUUCCACCACACUGUCAUUACCACAACACUAAGUCAUUACCAUCAAGGUACAUAUUUUAGAGGUAAAGGUGCAUUAAAUUACAAUUGAUAUUGAUGAUUUUUCCCAUAUGUGAACAUUAUAUGCUUGUUCUCAAUAUUUUACAUUCCUUUAGAAAUUAUCUUAAGAUUUUUGUGGUAAAUACAUGUUUCUGAGUAUCAUCAAGGCAUAUAUGGACAUGACAAUGAUUAAUACAUAUGUUUAAGAAAACUUCCAAAUAGUAAAUUAAUAACAUUUAAAAAAAAAAAAAAAAAAGUGAAAUAUUAUGUAAAAGACCAUAUGCACAAUUUCGGUCAUUUCCUUUUCAACUAAAAUUGCACAUUUUAUGAUGUGUUGGUAAUGACAUUUCCCCUCUGGAAUUUGGUGAAACGAUACAAAUUAUUUUUAUCCUUAAAUAGUAUGAUCUCAGCCAAUAUUAAAUCUUGUAUCCAGACAGUGAAGAAAAUAUUCAGAUAGAUAAAAAGUAGUUUCAUUUUCCAAAACAUUUAACAUCCUAAAGUUACCAUAUAUUCAACCACAAGGAGGUACUAAUGAGCUAUGCGAGAUAUGUAUAUUUUUAAUCAUAAUAGAGGACUACUGCAAUUGUAUUAUUUCGGUGUAGAUAAGGAAAGGGCAGGUUAAAAACAUGAAUGCAGUGGAAAUUAACUGACUACGGGGGGGACAUUAUUUGGCAUGACAGGCCCAAUAUGGCUCCUCUGGUUUCUCUCUCUGCAUUUGGAUUGCUGCUGUUGUAUCUGCCUGCUCAGCACUGUACAGAGCCAAUCUGUCAUGGUCACCUCUCCUCACCCCCAGUUGUAGCACAGUUCUAGUGCCCUCUCCUGGACGACAGAGGCUCUCUUUCAGAGUAACUUGAUAAAGCCCACAUGUCCUCCACCCACUCUGAGAUCUGACCCCUCUCUCUCCAACUAGCUGACCCAUGUCUGAUGGAGAACAGUGAAAUCUAGACACUCACAAACACACCUCUUACCAAUCCAUCGAUGACGAAUGUUCCUCUUGUGGUUCGGGGAAAUGCCAAAGAUGGACUUGAUGCUCAUUCAGCCAUCCUUUCAAUGUUGUCUUUCAACUUUGAUUAUUUGAACUGCUGCCAUUUUAUAUGUGGACUAUUGUUGCUCUUCUGUUACUUUGUUGUUCCUAUGUUGGUCUAGAAAUCUUGUUCCUGUGGGUUAUAGAAUGGAUUGGCAAUCUGUUCUUAAUGUAAUAUGUACAAACAUUUUUAAAGGUGCAAUUCAAAUAUCUCUACCCCCCAUAAUGACAUGACCAAGUACAAACACAUUCAACCUGACACAAUCACAAAAACAGAUUGUAUGUUGGUUUUACACUCGAAAAAAUGCUCCACUAAGCUAGAUUCAAUCAGUUCUGCCUUAACCCUUGAUAACCGACAACAUUGUUUUUAUUAAGGCGAUGUUAGAGGUGUAACUGCAUUGGAGCUGUCAAAUCAUCAAACGCCUCCCGGAUUUAUAGCUAUCACGGACAUUGCCAUUGGAUGUGCAGAGACACAGUAGUAGUAAUCGCAUGUAGCCUUGUUACAAGCCGUCAAAUCGGUGAGCAGCUGCUCUUGUGAUCAUUGUCAAAAAGCCACACCUGCCCAUCUCACAUUAAAAGUUCAGGACAAGAAAGUGUAGGCUAUAUAGAAACAAUUACUCUCAAUUUGAAAAAUCAAUAACUAAAUCAUGAGGAUUUCAAUCAUCUUGAGGUGUAGAUUAUGUCACAAAUUCCAGUGAUUGAACUUGUCAACAAGGCUGCAUGGGGAUGUCUCUUAACGCUCCACUCCAUGCCGCCAAUGGCAAUGUCCGCUUUAGGUACAAUUUGAUAUUGAGAUAAAAAUGGCUGCAUUGGACCUUUAAAUGUAGCUAUUUUGAGUCUUUGGACCCUUUUACUCCCUUUGUAUAGCAGAAUAUUUGCUUGCUAAAUAACCUUUUAAGUACCUCUGUAAAUUCUUAUAUUUUUCAAUGGUGAAUUGCUGUAUACAGUUUAAGCACAGGAAUUUCACCAGUAUAUGUGGUGAUAAAACACAUGAAAGUUCAGACUGUUAAAACUGCUGCAACCGUUAGUGCUCUAUUUGGAAACUCGGAAAUGAUUUUCCGCUAGUGGUGUAAAGUUGUUAAGUAAAAAUACUUGAAAGUACUACUUAAGUAGUUUUAGGGAUAUCUGUACUUUACUAUUUAUAUUUUUGGCAACUUUUACUUCACUACAUUCCUAAAGAAAAUUCUAUACUUUUUA